CUCGGCAGCGGAUAUCUCGGCUCUCGCAUCGAUGAAGAACGUAGCGAAAUGCGAUACUUGGUGUGAAUUGCAGAAUCCCGUGAACCAUCGAGUCUUUGAACGCAAGUUGCGCCCGAAGCCAUUAGGCUGAGGGCACGUCUGCCUGGGCGUCACGC
RNAcentral lists this ribosomal RNA (155 nucleotides) under Origanum majorana. RNAcentral's name for it is "5.8S ribosomal RNA". It matches the Rfam family "5.8S ribosomal RNA". Rfam says of the family: 5.8S ribosomal RNA (5.8S rRNA) is a component of the large subunit of the eukaryotic ribosome. It is transcribed by RNA polymerase I as part of the 45S precursor that also contains 18S and 28S rRNA. The record is from RNAcentral. Lineage: Eukaryota; Viridiplantae; Streptophyta; Magnoliopsida; Lamiales; Lamiaceae.